Long non-coding RNA from Oncorhynchus nerka (sockeye salmon), 4173 nucleotides. RefSeq lists it as uncharacterized. The record is from RefSeq and is a predicted model, not a curated record. The transcript has 3 exons. Lineage: Eukaryota; Metazoa; Chordata; Actinopteri; Salmoniformes; Salmonidae.
CAUACCACCUAAUGAAGAACAACUAAUAUUCAGAACACUGGUUCAGCUUGGGACGGGAGACAACAAAGAUGGCACACAACAAGGGCUCAUCUCUGUCCAAUGCCCGUGGUCAUGAAAGUUGUGUUGGAAGUGAAACCAGGGAUUCCAUUUCCCUUCUGGAUGUUUUGUACUCAAAUGCAUUUGAAGAAGAGGACAUAGACUCAGCAGUAGCGAAAAAGGCAGAGGCAGAUUUUUACAGAGGAGCCCCACCUCAAUGGCUUAACUUCUGCUGGGCUGAAAAGGCAACAUCAGCUAAUAAAACUACCCCCUUUAUCAAAAGAGAUGGGUACACGGAGCUGAUACAAAAUAUUAAGAAACAGCUUAAGGGCGACCUGACUUCUACCAUGAAUCUGCUGCAUCAGCCAGGCAGCGGAGGAACCACUCUGGCCAAGCAGGUGCUCUGGGAUAUGAGGAAAACACUCAGAUGUGCUGUUCUAACAGGCCCUACCUCAGACUUCACCGCUAUCGCCAAGGAGGUGAUUCUCCUUUUCACUGCAGGCAGCCAAGGCCACCAGAACACUGUGCUCUUACUGCUGAAUGAUGUGUGUAUUCAGAAGAAUCUGCAGGAUGCCAUCAUGAAAGAGAUUACAGACCGAAACAUUACAACCCACAUGCCUGUGGUCAUCAUUUUAAACUGUGUGCGUAAGGCAGUUAUCAAACAAGAGGACCAUAACAACUCAAGACAUGUUAUUCUCAGGGCGGAACUUUCUGAAGCAGAGAAACAACAGUUUGAGGAGAAACAGAUUGAGAUCAGUCGAAGCUACAGCAAUGAACACAAACAGUUUCAUGGCUUUAACAUAAUGCGAGAAAAUAUUAGUGGAGAUUAUGUGAAAGAAACGUGUGCCUUUUUAGAUGUCAGGAAAAAUAGAAGACCUAAAAAAUCCCAGCUUCUUGCAUUCUUAUCACUGGUGAAUGCCUACGUCCCUGGAUCCCACCUUCUGGAGUCUCACUGUCAGGCAUUCCUGGGGCCUCCAGAUCCCAUUUAUGGAGGCCCUUCCUUUGAGCAGCGAAUGGAGCCUUUCAGUCAUCUGAUAGUGACAUUCCCUUCACAACAGGGACAAGACAAACACGUCCGCAUGGCUCACCCACUGAUUGCACAGCAGUGUGUUGAGUUACUGGCUACAGCAGGUGUGACCAGGAGUGAUACAGCAAGGAACUUUCUGACUGACUUUUGUGGAGAAGAGGUGCAGCAACAUUUGAUGUCCGUCAUCAAAGAUAUGCUAACUAAGAGGGAAAUCACUGUGGAUGUUAAGCAGAAUGCAGAAUGGAAACGAGACAUGUUAACGAAAGGGGAAAUGAGAGAAGAAAGGAAAGGCAAGUUUUCCAGGUUGAUUCAAGAUAUUGAAGAUACUGAAGGCCAAGAAUCCAAAAGCAAGUGUGUAUCUGUUUUACAACUAGCUUCAAAGAAAUUCAAGCAAAACCCAUUAUUUCCUCAAGCUCUUGCUCGUUACUUUUAUAUUGUGAAGAGAGCCUAUACUAAAGCGGAGAAGUGGGCAAAAAUAGCAAAAGACAGAGAUCCCAACAAUUCAUUUGUUGCUGACACACUGGGGCAUGUAUACAAGAACCAUUUGAUGAGCAGGAUGACAGUAGAGCAGAGUUCCUUCAGGGUUCCCAAACAGCUGGGUUCCAUCUCUGCACAAGAAAUUUUGCAACUAUCAACAAUGGCCUUUGAGGCUUUCAAAGAUGAGGAAUGGGCUGCUGAAAAUGAGCAGGGAGCAGACAUGCAAUACGAUGGUAUUAACAAAGUCUCACACAUCUAUAACAACAGGGGACUAUUUGGUUAUCUACAGGUUGCCAACAUUGUUUUUGACUCACUUGUCUCUCUUGAUAAAAACUGGCAAAAGGUCCUUACCAUGGAAAUAUCCGCUGACUCUUUCUUCAUAUCAAUCGGACAGAAAAAGCUCUUCAAGUACAAGCCACUCAUCAUCAGCCUCAGGGAUGAGGUGGAGAGGAAAUGUGAGUUUUUUGAUGGUUACCUGACUUACUCUAAGCCCAACAUUAAAGAAAAUGAACCGCAUUACUUUCAGACUGAUGUCAAGAACUGCUACUGCAAAUACGUGGGGACAUGUACACCUAUACACUCAGAGUCUGCAAUAGAUGUACCCCUCCAGAAGCUCAAAGAAGAAAUGGCCAUUGCCUUCCCUGGACUGCUUUGCUGUCUUGAUAAGGGCUAUGAUGAAUCUAACUUACGCCGAAUAACAACAUUGUGGGGGGAAAUAAAAAAUAAAAAAAACAAGAAAGAUGGUGACAACAAAGCGUCCCAAAACUUCAUCCUUGCCAACAUCAUCUUAAGCAAAGUUGAAGCAGCAUCUCCAGUGCUUACCCCGUUGUCAAGCCUAAGAAGCACUCUGGAGAGACAUCUAGUGGCUAAUCUCAGUAACCAAACCCCAGAGUUUUACUUCUUAGUCCUUUUGCUGUUUUGGCCUGAGGAGCAUAAGAAAAUGGAUUUCAAUAUUGACCUCAACAAAUGUGUUCUGGAGAUGCAAGAGUCCUACAAAAACACAUACAAAAAGCAUCUUCGCUCAAGGUACCUUCUCCCCCUUAUUUUCCUGGGUAAGGGUGAGGGUUUGAGCAGACUGGUUCAUAGAGCAAAAAUAGACAACCUAUUGGUAGAGGAGAAUCCAAUGGCAAGGCCAGAGGCAAGGCCAGACUUUAUCUCUCAAAAGUGGAGCAGUGGUGAGGUGUGGAGAAAACCCAGUGUCCAGGACCUUCUUCUUCCAGUCAAUGGAGUGGUUAGACAGCACAGGGUGUUUGCGCACGUUGAUGGCAAGGAGAUUAACGUUUGUGCCGGCCAACAAAGCAAAGUUUGGAAGUCCGGAGACGUCUGCUUCUACCUUGGCUUCACCAUUAGAGGUCCUGUGGCCUACGACAUCAACUACCCAUCCUAUUCAGGGCCAGUGAGAAGUUGAACAACAUGCCAAUGUGAUGGCCAGCACUUUGAGGACUUCACCGGACAGAACUGAUCUAGAGAGUGAACCAGAUGAAGCCCAUCUUGGAUAAACUCAUCACUGACAAGAGCUAAAGUUCAGUACUGGCUGAACGCACCACACAGGACCAGAUGGGGGAGCUCUCCACAGGACUGAGGGCAAGUGGCAUCAGAGCAAAAUAUAUUUUCUAUGAAAUCCUGACGGAGCUGGAGCCACUGCUAAUCAAAGACCUGAAGGGUGAAUGAGGAGCUGGAAUGGUGAACUGGGGACAUUUAAAGUUUGUUUUAGGGGAAAAGGGCAUACAUGACGGCAGUUCCGCUUUGUUUUACUACUUUGUGUUUACAAUAAAACACAACCUAAGAGAGGUAUAGCCUCAUUCUUUUAUCAUUCUUAUUUUUCUACAUGUAAAUAUUAGUAGCCAGCAGAACAGCAACCAGCAACCUAGUGUUUUAGCCUUGAGGCUUUGCCAAAGAUAUAACAUUUUGAGGGAGCUUGGGGUCUGGUAAAAGUUGGGUUGGAAGAUAAAUGCUCAACCAUCUCACCUAGAUACUCUGGAUCAUUUACAGACAAGAAAAUAUAUAAAGAAAAUAUAUAAUGAAAAUACAAAAAUAUACUGUGUAAAGAAUCGAUGAUAAAAAGAACAAUUCAAUUAUUUUGGCUACUAAAUGAUUGACAAGUCAGUGAGGGUAAGGAAUACCAGCGAUCUAAAUACAUGUAUGAUAUGACUUUGUAAAGCUUUAUGUACAAGCCUAAUACAACUUUUUAAACAGUAAUGAUAUGUGAGAAUUUUUGUGACAUUUUCACAACACAGGUUUUAGAAUAUGUAUUGAAAUAAAUACCUACGUACAGAUGUGGCUUUGUCCUGAUUUAAAUGAGACUAAACUGAAAUGAUGCUAUUUUGUUAGUGUGCUAAAAUGAAUAUAUAUUUGAGCCCUUGUGGCUCAGCUGAUAGAGCAUGGCACUGUGUUUUGGGUUAAAUUCCCAUGGUGGAGAAAUACAAAAAAUGUAUGCACUCACUUACUGUAAAUAGCUCUGGAUAAGGGUCUGCUAAUACAUACAGUGCUUUUGGAAAGUAUUCAGACCCUUUGACUUUUUCCACAUUUUGUUACAUUACAGCCUUAUUCAAUACCCAAUACUGACAAACUCAAAAUUAAAUAUAUAGUACCAGUCAAAAGUUUGGACACUCCUACUCAUUCAAGGGCUUUCU